AGCGGCGAACGGGUGAGUAACACGUGGGUGAUCUGCCCUGCACUUCGGGAUAAGCCUGGGAAACUGGGUCUAAUACCGGAUAUGACCUCCUAUCGCAUGGUGGGUGGUGGAAAGAUUUAUCGGUGCAGGAUGGGCCCGCGGCCUAUCAGCUUGUUGGUGGGGUAAUGGCCUACCAAGGCGACGACGGGUAGCCGACCUGAGAGGGUGACCGGCCACACUGGGACUGAGACACGGCCCAGACUCCUACGGGAGGCAGCAGUGGGGAAUAUUGCACAAUGGGCGAAAGCCUGAUGCAGCGACGCCGCGUGAGGGACGACGGCCUUCGGGUUGUAAACCUCUUUCAGCAGGGACGAAGCGCAAGUGACGGUACCUGCAGAAGAAGCACCGGCUAACUACGUGCCAGCAGCCGCGGUAAUACGUAGGGUGCAAGCGUUGUCCGGAAUUACUGGGCGUAAAGAGUUCGUAGGCGGUUUGUCACGUCGUUUGUGAAAACUCACAGCUCAACUGUGAGCCUGCAGGCGAUACGGGCAGACUUGAGUACUGCAGGGGAGACUGGAAUUCCUGGUGUAGCGGUGAAAUGCGCAGAUAUCAGGAGGAACACCGGUGGCGAAGGCGGGUCUCUGGGCAGUAACUGACGCUGANGAACGAAAGCGUGGGUAGCGAACAGGAUUAGAUACCCUGGUAGUCCACGCCGUAAACGGUGGGCGCUAGGUGUGGGUUCCUUCCACGGAAUCCGUGCCGUAGCUAACGCAUUAAGCGCCCCGCCUGGGGAGUACNGCCGCAAGGCUAAACUCAAAGGAAUUGACGGGGGCCCGCACAAGCGGCGGANCAUGUGGAUUAAUUCGAUGCAACGCGAAGAA
RNAcentral lists this ribosomal RNA (860 nucleotides) under Rhodococcus sp. MIDF01. RNAcentral's name for it is "bacterial SSU rRNA". It matches the Rfam family "Bacterial small subunit ribosomal RNA", at positions 94 to 968 of the family's 1533-position model. The record is from RNAcentral. Lineage: Bacteria; Bacillati; Actinomycetota; Actinomycetes; Mycobacteriales; Nocardiaceae.